CCACUUCUCCGACGGUGACAGUUUUAACAGGACGGUACACUCUGCUGGCAAAGCCUUGGGAACACAGGUGUCCCUGGCGCUGCAUCGGGGGUGCACACCAUGGAAAGUGCCAUCCUCACGACACACCUUCUGACCUUGUGAGCCUAGGGAGACAGCUGGGAAACUGCACCGUGGAAGACUAGGCCGUUACGGAAACAGAGAGGCUCUUCCUGUCCUGCUGGUAGAGACUGUCUUCAACAAGUGUGCAUGGACCAUAACCCUGCUGGGGCAAAGGAUCUCCCAGGGAAGAAGGCAAAGACUCUGUCCCCAGAGAGCAGGGGAAGGUCAUUGCCCUCGGUAAGAGAAAAGGAGCCUCCGCAGGGCAGGGAGGGCUUGAGGGUGAGAUAAGUCUGAACCCAGGCUCACGAGGGAAAGUGGGGCCUGCCCCAUGAACCUGUGCUCCACACCCCAUGCUCUCCAGCCUCCCUCUACCAGGGAGGCUCUGGAGCUCACAGAGGGCCUCAUCAUCCCACAGAACAUGUCUGGCCUUCAGCAGGAGCCCCA
This is a long non-coding RNA of Peromyscus maniculatus bairdii (prairie deer mouse), 543 nucleotides long. RefSeq lists it as uncharacterized. NCBI's taxonomy places the organism in Eukaryota, Metazoa, Chordata, Mammalia, Rodentia, Cricetidae. The record is from RefSeq and is a predicted model, not a curated record.